RNAcentral lists this ribosomal RNA (1052 nucleotides) under uncultured bacterium. Its description in RNAcentral is "bacterial SSU rRNA". It matches the Rfam family "Bacterial small subunit ribosomal RNA", at positions 56 to 1101 of the family's 1533-position model. The record is from RNAcentral.
UGCAGUCGAGCGGUAACAUUUCUAGCUUGCUGGAAGAUGACGAGCGGCGGACGGGUGAGUAACGCGUGGGAAUCUGCCUGGUAGUGGGGACAACAGUCGGAAACGACUGCUAAUACCGCAUACGCCCUUCGGGGGAAAGUGGGGGAUCUUCGGACCUCACGCUAUCAGAUGAGCCCGCGUCGGAUUAGCUUGUUGGUGAGGUAAAGGCUCACCAAGGCGAUGAUCCGUAGCUGGUCUGAGAGGAUGAUCAGCCACACUGGGACUGAGACACGGCCCAGACUCCUACGGGAGGCAGCAGUGGGGAAUAUUGGACAAUGGGGGCAACCCUGAUCCAGCCAUGCCGCGUGUGUGAAGAAGGCCUUCGGGUUGUAAAGCACUUUCAGCAGUGAGGAAAGGUGUGUCGUUAAUACCGGCAUGCUGUGACGUUAACUGCAGAAGAAGGACCGGCUAACUCCGUGCCAGCAGCCGCGGUAAUACGGAGGGUCCGAGCGUUAAUCGGAAUUACUGGGCGUAAAGCGCGCGUAGGUGGUUCAGUCAGUCAGAUGUGAAAGCCCCGGGCUCAACCUGGGAAUUGCACCUGAUACUGCUGAGCUAGAGUACGGUAGAGGGUAGUGGAAUUUCCGGUGUAGCGGUGAAAUGCGUAGAGAUCGGAAGGAACACCAGUGGCGAAGGCGACUACCUGGACCGAUACUGACACUGAGGUGCGAAAGCGUGGGUAGCAAACAGGAUUAGAUACCCUGGUAGUCCACGCCGUAAACGAUGUCAACUAGCCGUUGGGGGACUUGAUCCUUUAGUGGCGCAGCUAACGCGAUAAGUUGACCGCCUGGGGAGUACGGCCGCAAGGUUAAAACUCAAAUGAAUUGACGGGGGCCCGCACAAGCGGUGGAGCAUGUGGUUUAAUUCGAAGCAACGCGAAGAACCUUACCUACUCUUGACAUCCUGCGAACUUGGUAGAGAUACCUUGGUGCCUUCGGGAACGCAGUGACAGGUGCUGCAUGGCUGUCGUCAGCUCGUGUUGUGAAAUGUUGGGUUAAGUCCCGUAACGAGCGCAA